Molecule: ribosomal RNA, 253 nt
Filed under: uncultured bacterium
Lineage: Bacteria
Description: partial 16S ribosomal RNA
Rfam family: Bacterial small subunit ribosomal RNA
Source: RNAcentral
UACGUAGGGUGCGAGCGUUGUCCGGAAUUAUUGGGCGUAAAGGGCUCGUAGGCGGUCUGUCACGUCGGGAGUGAAAACACGGGGCUUAACCCCGUGCCUGCUUCCGAUACGGGCAGACUAGAGGUAUGCAGGGGAGAACGGAAUUCCUGGUGUAGCGGUGAAAUGCGCGGAUAUCAGGAGGAACACCGAUGGCGAAGGCAGGUCUCUGGGCAACAACUGACGCUGAGGAGCGAAAGCGUGGGGAGCGAACAGG